GGAGUACUACAAGAAAACUCAGGAGAAAAAAAAAAGAACAGAGUUCAAGUACCACUGACUGGCAGAAGGAGGUGUACGAGAAGAAGCGGGUGAACCACCAAGGCACAAAGAAGAAAGGGUGCGCAGCAACAAUGAAUUUGAAGUGGAUUGAGUUGUACCCAGAUUUCCAGUAUUCCAUUCCAGAUAUGCAUACUUUGACGGUUCCCUUGACAACUGGAAACGGCACAUUGUCCAGAGGGAUUCGAGAUCCGCAGUG
Molecule: long non-coding RNA, 256 nt
Filed under: Rhipicephalus microplus (southern cattle tick)
Lineage: Eukaryota; Metazoa; Arthropoda; Arachnida; Ixodida; Ixodidae
Description: uncharacterized LOC119185474
Source: RNAcentral